UGUUCUGUUCACUGUCCAAAGUCCCAGAGAGGAGGCCCAACAUCUGUAUCCCACAUACUCAUUCUGCAAGCCUUGCUCCUCAUUCGGGAUCAGCCUAGACACCAGCUUCCAUGGAGCUCACCAAGAAUGUAAGGAGUUCUGGGAAAUUAACUGAUUCCAAACAACGGUAAAAGAAGGAGAAGAGGAACAACAGGUAGAUGCAGAAAAAGAAAACGAAUACAGAGAAAUAGUUGAGGUCAGGCUGCAAACUUCAACAGAAGCAGUGAAGACCUUCUUGAUGUUCCAGAGUAAUAUUAGAGCAGUUACAAGUAAUGCUGUAACCUAAUUUUUAUAUUAAUAAUAUAACUGGAAAGUGAAUAGGGAAGAAUAAACACAAAAGGAGGGAAUUAAAGAGCGGAGAGUCUCCUGAG
Long non-coding RNA from Mesocricetus auratus (golden hamster), 410 nucleotides. RefSeq lists it as uncharacterized. The transcript has 3 exons. The record is from RefSeq and is a predicted model, not a curated record. Lineage: Eukaryota; Metazoa; Chordata; Mammalia; Rodentia; Cricetidae.